UCUAGGGGAGGCAGCAGGGGGGAUUUUGGACAAUUGCGCAAAGCUUGAUCCAGCCCAUGCGCGUGUCUGAGAAGGCNUNCGGGUGUUAAAGACUUUGUANNNGGAGAAAAAGGAUAGUGUAAAUACCAUAUCUGCUGACGGGUACNUAAAAGAAUAAGCACGGGCUAACUACGUGCCAGCCAGCCGCGGUAAUACGUAGGGUGCGAGCGUUAAUCGGAAUUACUGGGCGUAAAGCGAGCGCAGACGGUUUAUUAAGCAAGAUGUGAAAUCCCCGAGCUUAACUUGGGAACUGCGUUUUGAACUGGUAAGCUAGAGUAUGUCAGAGGGGGGUAGAAUUCCACGUGUAGCAGUGAAAUGCGUAGAGAUGUGGAGGAAUACCGAUGGCGAAGGCAGCCCCCUGGGAUAAUACUGACGUUCAUGCUCGAAAGCGUGGGUAGCAAACAGGAUUAGAUACCCUGGUAGUCCACGCCCUAAACGAUGUCAAUUAGCUGUUGGGCAACAUGAUUGCUUAGUAGCGUAGCUAACGCGUGAAAAUUGACCGCCUGGGGAGUACGGUCGCAAGAUUAAAAACUCAAAGGAAUUGACGGGGACCCGCACAAGCGGUGGAUGAUGUGGAUUAAUUCGAUGCAAACGCGAAGAACCUUACCUGGUCUUGACAUGUACGGAAUCUUCCAGAGACGGAAGAGUGCCUUCGGGAGCCGUAAACACAGGUGCUGCAUGGCUGUCGUCAGCUCGUGUCGUGAGAUGUUGGGUUAAGUCCCGCAACGAGCGCAACCCUUGUCAUUAGUUGCCACCAUCCAGUUGGGCGACUCUAAUGAGACUGCCGGUGACGAAACCGGAGGAAGGUGGGGAUGACGUCGAAGUCCUCAUGGCCCUUAUGACCGAGGGCUUCACGACGUCAUACGAUGGUCGGUACGAGAGGGUAGCCGAAGCCGCGAGGUGAAGCCGAUCUCGAGAAAAACCGAAUCGUAGUUCCGGAAUUGCGCUCUGCGAACUCGAGUGCGUAAAGUCGGAAAUCGCUAGGAACGCGGGUCGGCGGACGGCGGUAAGACGUUUCCCGGGUCUUGGAGCGCCGGCCCG
Molecule: ribosomal RNA, 1080 nt
Filed under: uncultured bacterium
Lineage: Bacteria
Description: bacterial SSU rRNA
Rfam family: Bacterial small subunit ribosomal RNA
Source: RNAcentral